RNAcentral lists this ribosomal RNA (468 nucleotides) under uncultured bacterium. Its description in RNAcentral is "partial 16S ribosomal RNA". It matches the Rfam family "Bacterial small subunit ribosomal RNA", at positions 28 to 507 of the family's 1533-position model. The record is from RNAcentral.
GACGAACGCUGGCGGCGUGCUUAACACAUGCAAGUCGAACGGAAAGGCCCUGCUUUUGUGGGGUUCUCGAGUGGCGAACGGGUGAGUAACACGUGAGUAACCUGCCCUUGACUUUGGGAUAACUUCAGGAAACUGGGGCUAAUACCGGAUAGGAGCUCCUGCUGCAUGGGGGGGGUUGGAAAGUUUCGGCGGUUGGGGCUGGACUCGCGGCUUAUCAGCUUGUUGGUGGGGUAGUGGCUUACCAAGGCUUUGACGGGUAGCCGGCCUGAGAGGGUGACCGGCCACAUUGGGACUGAGAUACGGCCCAGACUCCUACGGGAGGCAGCAGUGGGGAAUAUUGCACAAUGGGCGGAAGCCUGAUGCAGCAACGCCGCGUGCGGGAUGACGGCCUUCGGGUUGUAAACCGCUUUCGCCUGUGACGAAGCGUGAGUGACGGUAAUGGGUAAAGAAGCACCGGCUAACUACGUG